Molecule: ribosomal RNA, 503 nt
Filed under: uncultured bacterium
Lineage: Bacteria
Description: partial 16S ribosomal RNA
Rfam family: Bacterial small subunit ribosomal RNA
Source: RNAcentral
AUUGAACGCUGGCGGCAGGCUUAACACAUGCAAGUCGAGCGGAGUGAUGGUGCUUGCACUAUCACUUAGCGGCGGACGGGUGAGUAAUGCUUAGGAAUCUGCCUAUUAGUGGGGGACAACAUCUCGAAAGGGAUGCUAAUACCGCAUACGUCCUACGGGAGAAAGCAGGGGAUCACUUGUGACCUUGCGCUAAUAGAAGAGCCUAAGUCGGAUUAGCUAGUUGGUGGGGUAAAGGCCUACCAAGGCGACGAUCUGUAGCGGGUCUGAGAGGAUGAUCCGCCACACUGGGGCUGAGACACGGCCCAGACUCCUACGGGAGGCAGCAGUGGGGAAUAUUGGACAAUGGGGGGAACCCUGAUCUAGCCAUGCCGCGUGUGUGAAGAAGGCCUUAUGGUUGUAAAGCACUUUAAGCGAGGAGGAGGCUUACCUAGUUAAUACCUGGGAUAAGUGGACGUUACUCGCAGAAUAAGCACCGGCUAACUCUGUGCCAGCCGCCGCGGUAA